GAUGAACGCUGGCGGCGUGCCUAAUACAUGCAAGUCGAGCGAACGGACGAGAAGCUUGCUUCUCUGAUGUUAGCGGCGGACGGGUGAGUAACACGUGGAUAACCUACCUAUAAGACUGGGAUAACUUCGGGAAACCGGAGCUAAUACCGGAUAAUAUUUUGAACCGCAUGGUUCAAAAGUGAAAGACGGUCUUGCUGUCACUUAUAGAUGGAUCCGCGCUGCAUUAGCUAGUUGGUAAGGUAACGGCUUACCAAGGCAACGAUGCAUAGCCGACCUGAGAGGGGGUGCGGCACCACAGGAAAAGAGAAACGGGCCAGAGACCCACGGGGGGCACAAGAGGGGGAAAUUUCCCAAGGGGGGAAAACCGGAGGGGGAAAAACGCGGGGGGGGAGAAGGGUCUCGGGAUCGUAAAAAUCUCUUAUAGGGGAAAAAAAAAUGUGUAAGAAAAAGUGAACACAUUGAGGGGGCACAUAAGAAAAACACCGCGGAAAAAGAU
Molecule: ribosomal RNA, 496 nt
Filed under: uncultured bacterium
Lineage: Bacteria
Description: partial 16S ribosomal RNA
Rfam family: Bacterial small subunit ribosomal RNA
Source: RNAcentral